This 253-nucleotide ribosomal RNA is filed under the name uncultured bacterium. RNAcentral's name for it is "partial 16S ribosomal RNA". It matches the Rfam family "Bacterial small subunit ribosomal RNA", at positions 524 to 776 of the family's 1533-position model. The record is from RNAcentral.
UACGUAGGCAGCGAGCGUUGUUCGGAGUUACUGGGCGUAAAGGGUGUGUAGGCGGUUGUUUAAGUUUGGUGCGAAAUCUCCCGGCUCAACUGGGAGGGUGCGCCGAAUACUGAAUGACUAGAGUGCGGGAGAGGAAAGUGGAAUUCCUGGUGUAGCGGUGAAAUGCGUAGAUAUCGGAAGGAACAUCAGUGGCGAAAGCGGCUUCCUGGUCCAGCACCGACGUUCAGGCACGAAAGCGUGGGGAGCAAACAGG